GAAGAAGCACCGGCUAACUCCGUGCCAGCAGCCGCGGUAAUACGGAGGGUGCGAGCGUUAAUCGGAAUUACUGGGCGUAAAGCGUACGCAGGCGGUUUGUUAAGCGAGAUGUGAAAGCCCCGGGCUCAACCUGGGAACUGCAUUUCGAACUGGCAAACUAGAGUGUGAUAGAGGGUGGUAGAAUUUCAGGUGUAGCGGUGAAAUGCGUAGAGAUCUGAAGGAAUACCGAUGGCGAAGGCAGCCACCUGGGUCAACACUGACGCUCAUGUACGAAAGCGUGGGGAGCAAACAGGAUUAGAUACCCUGGUAGUCCACGCCGUAAACGAUGUCUACUAGAAGCUCGGAGCCUCGGCUCUGUUUUUCAAAGCUAACGCAUUAAGUAGACCGCCUGGGGAGUACGGCCGCAAGGUUAAAACUCAAAUGAAUUGACGG
RNAcentral lists this ribosomal RNA (432 nucleotides) under uncultured bacterium. Its description in RNAcentral is "bacterial SSU rRNA". It matches the Rfam family "Bacterial small subunit ribosomal RNA", at positions 484 to 916 of the family's 1533-position model. The record is from RNAcentral.